GGAUUGAGUCUUCAUUGGACAAUCUAGAUGGAGAACGGAUCCACUUCUCUCGCAUCGAGCUUUGGUGGUGAGGGAGAGUUUGUCAGGUCGAGGAAUCCAAAUGAUGGGAUAUCAAGUCAGCUGGGAUCGCUGGUUGUGUGGAGGAGCAGCAUGUGGAUCUUGCUCCUCAAGCUAUUAUUGUCUCGUCGCCACUUGCUGGAGACUCUACUGCUACUGGUUUGCUACUAUGAC
This 231-nucleotide long non-coding RNA is filed under the name Elaeis guineensis (African oil palm). RNAcentral's name for it is "long non-coding RNA (EGUI_LNC033128)". The record is from RNAcentral. Lineage: Eukaryota; Viridiplantae; Streptophyta; Magnoliopsida; Arecales; Arecaceae.